Molecule: long non-coding RNA, 562 nt
Filed under: Pongo abelii (Sumatran orangutan)
Lineage: Eukaryota; Metazoa; Chordata; Mammalia; Primates; Hominidae
Description: lncRNA (ENSPPYG00000016756.2)
Source: RNAcentral
AGGAGAUCAAGACCAUCCUGGCUAACACGGUGAAACCCCGUCUCUACUAAAAAUACAAAAAACUAGCUGGGCGUGGUGGCGGGUGCCUGUGGUCCCAGCUACUCGGGAGGCUGAGGCAGGAAAAUGGCAUGAACCCAGGAGGCGGAGCUUGCAGUGAGCCGAGAUAGCACGACUGCACUCCAGCCUGGGCAACAGAGCGAGACUCCGUCUCAAAAAAAAAGACUGGUUUCUUAACUAAGUCACAAACUCCCAACUAUUGAGUCUGGAAUCUUCAUUUAAUGAGAACACCAAGGGCAUGGCUGUCAAUCCUAUGACACCUGUCUGAGCCCUUGAAAAAAGUAGACCACAGAACUUGGGAGGUGCCUGCAGAGGUUCUGGGGCUGAGGGACCAGUUGGAGAAGAGGAAAAAGGAGAGGCGAAGAUGACAAAAUCACGGGUAAGGAGGCGAGAUCUGGACAGAAAAACCAGGGAUUAGCCAAGCGGGAACCAGUGAAAACGAACGUGCAGUCCAUUUUUUUCUAGAUCUGGAAGAUACAGAUCUAGAGGAGAUCUAGAAGGACUG